AACUAACAAGGAUUCCCUUAGUAACGGCGAGUGAAGCGGGAAAAGCUCAAAUUUGUAAUCUGGCCGUUCUGCGGUCCGAGUUGUAACCUAUAGAAGUGUUUUCUGUGCCCGGCCCCUUAUGAGUCUGUUGGAAUAUAGCGUCAAGGAGGGUGAGAACCCCGUUCGUGAUGGGUGUCCGGUGUGCUCUGUGAUACACUCUCUAAGAGUCGAGUUGUUUGGGAAUGCAGCUCUAAUUGGGUGGUAAAUUCCAUCUAAAGCUAAAUAUUGACGAGAGACCGAUAGCGAACAAGUACCGUGAGGGAAAGAUGAAAAGCACUUUGGAAAGAGAGUUAACAGUACGUGAAAUUGCUAUAAGGGAAACGCUUGAAGUCAGACAUGCUCCGUGCGUUCAGCCGAAAGGUGUAUUCGUAUGGUUGCAGGCUAGAGUCUGUUCUUGGGGUCGGAUAAGGGUUAGGGGAAUGUGGCCGGCUCGCCGGUGUUAUAGACCUUGGCUUGAUACGAUUCUGGGGACAGAGGACCGCAGCGCGCCUUCUUGGCAUUGGCUUUGGCCUUUUCCGCGCUAAGGAUUCUGGCUUAAUGGCUUUAAGCGACCCGUCUUGAACCACG
This 606-nucleotide ribosomal RNA is filed under the name urediniomycete sp. AH33906. Its description in RNAcentral is "LSU rRNA". It matches the Rfam family "Eukaryotic large subunit ribosomal RNA", at positions 63 to 663 of the family's 3401-position model. Lineage: Eukaryota; Fungi; Basidiomycota; Pucciniomycetes. The record is from RNAcentral.